This 762-nucleotide ribosomal RNA is filed under the name uncultured archaeon. Its description in RNAcentral is "bacterial SSU rRNA". It matches the Rfam family "Archaeal small subunit ribosomal RNA", at positions 110 to 879 of the family's 1478-position model. The record is from RNAcentral.
AGGGUUCAAGCUUGGAACCCUUGGGAACUGAGGCUAAUACCAGAUAUGGGAUUGAUACUGGAAUGUACUUUCCCUGAAAGUUUCGGCGCCUGAGGAUGAGUUGGCGGCUGAUUAGGCUGUUGGUGAGGUAAUGGCUCACCAAACCUCGGAUCAGUAGGGGAGAUGAGAGUCUUAGCCCCGAGAAGGACACUGAGAUAAGGGUCCUAGCCCUAAGGGGUGCAGCAGUCGCGGAACCUCUACAAUGUGCGAAAGCGUGAUAGGGGUAUCCCAAGUGCUUAGUUUUACUAAGCUUUUGCCAUGUGUAAAUAGCAUGGCGAAUAAGUGGUGGGUAAGACCGGUGCCAGCCGCCGCGGUAACCCCGGCGCCACGAGUGGCAAUCACAAUUAUUGGGUCUAAAGCGUCUGUAGCCGAUUUGGUAAGUUCCUUGUGAAAUUGUUUGGCUUAACCACACAACGUGCAAGGAAUACUAUCAGAUUAGAGACUGGGAGGAGGCAGGAGUACUCCUUGGGAAGCGGUAAAAUGUUAUAAUCCUUGGAGGACUACCUGUGGCGUAGGCGCCUGUCUAGAACAGGUCUGACGGUGAGAGACGAAGGCUAGGAGAACGAUCGGGAUUAGAUACCCCAGUAGCCCUAGCAGUAAACGCUGCGAACUAAGUGUUGCAUGCUCUUCGAGAACAUGCAGUGCUGUAGCGAAGGCAUUAAGUUCGCCACCUGGGAAGUACGGCCGCAAGACUGAAACUUAAAGGAAUUGGCGGGGGAGCAC